CCUACGGGAGGCAGCAGUAAGGAAUAUUGGUCAAUGGGCGCAAGCCUGAACCAGCCAUGCCGCGUGCAGGAAGACGGCCCUAUGGGUUGUAAACUGCUUUUGAACAAGAGAAAACCUCGGUACGUGUACCGAGCUGAUAGUAUUGUUAGAAUAAGCAUCGGCUAACUUCGUGCCAGCAGCCGCGGUAAGACGAAGGAUGCAAGCGUUAUCCGGAUUCAUUGGGUUUAAAGGGUGCGUAGGCGGCCUGAUAAGUCAGUGGUGAAAUCUCUCAGCUUAACUGAGAAACUGCCAUUGAUACUGUCGGGCUUGAGUACAGAUGAUGUGGGCGGAAUAUGACAUGUAGUGGUGAAAUACUUAGAUAUGUCAUAGAACACCGAUUGCGAAGGCAGCUCACAAAACUGUAACUGACGCUGAGCGACGAAGUAGCGGGAGUACAACAAGAGUACGUAUACCUACGUAGUCGCGACCGUAACG
This 474-nucleotide ribosomal RNA is filed under the name uncultured bacterium. RNAcentral describes it as "bacterial SSU rRNA". It matches the Rfam family "Bacterial small subunit ribosomal RNA", at positions 338 to 807 of the family's 1533-position model. The record is from RNAcentral.